ACUACAAACUACACAAGUAGAAAUAAUUGUUUUAAGAUAUUUCCUCAUGCUUUGCCCAAAAGAGAUGCCGCGUCAAUGCAGUACUUCUUGAAGACAUUCCCUCAGUCGUAACAAUACAACAGAUGUAGCCCGAUCAAAUAUUUAUACUCCUUGUUUGUGACAUAAAGUGGUCAAAAGAGGGGGAUGCUCGCAGGAUUUUUUAUGUUACUCGUCAGCCACUAAAACACGAAUAGGUGAAUAGGGUCAAAAAGUGGAUGCCAACAAGUGAUAUAGUCAACCCAACACAGUUAACAUCCUAAUAAAGGGAACAGACAUACUUCUGAUUAGUGCAAAAGGAAGAUUCAUACAUAUUAUUGCUAUUGCUACACAGAAACGUGGAUAUCUCCUAACUUAAUCCACCAAGGAAAAACAAAAAAGCACUGUUAAUUACCCGAUUUUGAGGACAGUUCAAUCUUGCAGAUCUCCAAGCAAGGAAGAAUCAAUAAACAAAACCAAUGAUAAACCUAAGUAUUCGUGACAUCGGAACUGGAAGCAAUUCACAACUCACAAAAUGAAUGCAGCACAUUAAUUUCUUAAUGGAAGCAGUUACCCAUUGUAUCUUUGGCACAUCAAUCUUAUUGCCAAUGAACAUGAGAAUUCAGUCAACCAUUCCUUUCUCCUCGGUCUCUUUGGAUCUAGUUAGGAACAUCAAAUACUGGUGCCACCGCAAGUACAGGUUUGGUUGCCAUUAGAAGUACAACGAUAAC
Long non-coding RNA from Rhodamnia argentea, 746 nucleotides. RefSeq lists it as uncharacterized. The record is from RefSeq and is a predicted model, not a curated record. The transcript has 2 exons. Lineage: Eukaryota; Viridiplantae; Streptophyta; Magnoliopsida; Myrtales; Myrtaceae.